Molecule: long non-coding RNA, 672 nt
Organism: Daphnia magna
Lineage: Eukaryota; Metazoa; Arthropoda; Branchiopoda; Diplostraca; Daphniidae
Exons: 3
Source: RefSeq, a predicted model, not a curated record
GAAGCCUUUAAUUGACGUUGUACUAAAAAAAUUCCCAUGGAAGGAAGUUCUUGCAGGAUCUUUUAUCGACCGUCUAUGUUAUGCAGUAAUUGGAUCUGCUGUUUAGUUAGAAACUUAAACUUCUCAGCUUAGAAUUUAUACGAAGAAUGAUAUUUGAUUGGAAAAAGUUCCUGGUUGAGACAAGAGAUCAAAAAUGAUACUGAACAUUGGAAAGACGACCGGCAAUUUCAAGAUUCAUUUAUUUCCUUUCACAUUAUAGUAUUAUUAUAUUAAAAAAAUUGAAUUGCAUAUCUGGGCUCCCUUCUUUUCUGUGGCCACGUUUCCCCUUGACUUAUGAUAAGCCCGUAGGGGAACUAAAAAAUAGUUUAAAUCAUAAAUUUUUUGUUUCUUUGUUUAAUCCAUGUUCUUUGAAUUUUCUUUUAUACUUUCUUUGUAUUUACACUGUACAUUUUCUACCUUUAAGAAAUGGAAUCUUAAUACUGCUGAUUUAUAAAUUCUGGUACUGAGAAUUCCAGAGUGCCUUUGAAUUACCGCCGAUCACAAUCUUGUGAUUAGUAAUUUGAUGUUAUUUAUUCUUGAAUUUCAACUUUCCUUCGUAAUUCGUACUUUCCUGCAGAAUGAUUUGGUAUACAAUCUUUGUGUACAUCGGUUUAUCAUAUUUAUUGAAUUGCU